CCUACGGGAGGCAGCAGUGAGGAAUAUUGGUCAAUGGGCGCGAGCCUGAACCAGCCAAGUCGCGUGAGGGAAGACGGUCCUAUGGAUUGUAAACCUCUUUUGUCGGGGAGACAAAGACGCCACGCGUGGCGUUCCGCGCGUACCCGACACAAAAGCAUCGGCUAACUCCGUGCCAGCAGCCGCGGUAAUACGGAGGAUGCGGGCGUUAUCCGGUUUUAUUGGGUUUAAAGGGUUCGCAGGCGGAAGAGCAAUUCAGCGGUAAAAGUGUGGGGCUCAACCUCUACGAGCCGUUGAAACUGGUUUUCUUGAGUGAGCGAGAAGUAUGCGGAAUGCGUGGUGUAGCGGUGAAAUGCAUAGAUAUCACGCAGAACUCCGAUUGCGAAGGCAGCAUACCGGCGCUCAACUGACGCUCAGGCACGAAAGUGUGGGUAUCGAACAGGAUUAGAUACCCUGGUAGUC
Molecule: ribosomal RNA, 459 nt
Filed under: uncultured bacterium
Lineage: Bacteria
Description: partial 16S ribosomal RNA
Rfam family: Bacterial small subunit ribosomal RNA
Source: RNAcentral